UAGUCUGGGAAACUGCCUGAUGGAGGGGGGUAACUACUGGAAACGGUAGCUAAUACCGCAUAAUGUCGCAAGACCAAAGUGGGGGGACCUUCGGGCCUCAUGCCAUCAGAUGUGCCCAGAUGGGAUUAGCUAGUAGGUGGGGUAAUGGCUCACCUAGGCGACGAUCCCUAGCUGGUCUGAGAGGAUGACCAGCCACACUGGAACUGAGACACGGUCCAG
RNAcentral lists this ribosomal RNA (219 nucleotides) under uncultured bacterium. RNAcentral describes it as "partial 16S ribosomal RNA". It matches the Rfam family "Bacterial small subunit ribosomal RNA", at positions 113 to 334 of the family's 1533-position model. The record is from RNAcentral.